GGUAGAGACGCAGCGUACGGCUCAGUAACACGUGGCUAACCUGCCCUUAGGACAGGGACAACCCCGGGAAACUGGGGCUAAUCCCCGAUAAGUGAGGAGGCCUGGAAUGGUUCUUCACUGAAAAGGCGCUGGAACCAUGCUUUUCAACGCCGCCUAAGGAUGGGGCCGCGCCCGAUCAGGUUGUUGGUGAGGUAAUGGCUCACCAAGCCUAUAACCGGUACGGGCCGUGAGAGCGGGAGCCCGGAGAUGGGCACUGAGACAAGGGCCCAGGCCCUACGGGGCGCAGCAGUCGCGAAAACUCCGCAAUGCGCGAAAGCGUGACGGGGCUACCCCGAGUGCCGUCCGCUGAGGAUGGCUUUUCCUUGGUGUAAUGAGCCGGGGGAAUAAGGAGAGGGCAAGACUGGUGUCAGCCGCCGCGGUAAUACCAGCUCUCCGAGUGGUAGGGACGAUUAUUGGGCUUAAAGCGUUCGUAGCCGGCUUAGCAAGUCUCCUGUUAAAUUCAGCGACUUAAUCGUUGAGCCGCGGGAGAUACUACUAGGCUAGGAGGCGGGAGAGGCCGACGGUAUUCCCGGGGUAGGGGUGAAAUCCUAUAAUCCCGGGAGGACCACCAGUGGCGAAAGCUGUCGGCUAGAACGCGCUCGACGGUGAGGGACGAAAGCUGGGGGAGCGAACCGGAUUAGAUACCCGGGUAGUCCCAGCUGUAAACGAUGC
RNAcentral lists this ribosomal RNA (711 nucleotides) under uncultured archaeon. RNAcentral describes it as "bacterial SSU rRNA". It matches the Rfam family "Archaeal small subunit ribosomal RNA", at positions 69 to 763 of the family's 1478-position model. The record is from RNAcentral.